This 123-nucleotide unclassified non-coding RNA is filed under the name uncultured Archaeorhizomyces. RNAcentral describes it as "sequence contains ITS1". The record is from RNAcentral. Lineage: Eukaryota; Fungi; Ascomycota; Archaeorhizomycetes; Archaeorhizomycetales; Archaeorhizomycetaceae.
CCGAAUGGCCCUCGGGCCGUCGACCCUUCAAACCCGUGGAAGACAGAAGAUUGUGCUUCGACGCCCCGGCGUCGUGUUAAUGCAGUGCCCAGUCCGUCGUCUGAACAGGAAACGAAUGAUUUA